Long non-coding RNA from Mesocricetus auratus (golden hamster), 1211 nucleotides. RefSeq lists it as uncharacterized. The record is from RefSeq and is a predicted model, not a curated record. NCBI's taxonomy places the organism in Eukaryota, Metazoa, Chordata, Mammalia, Rodentia, Cricetidae. The transcript is spliced from 5 exons.
CCCCCAGCCCCCAGCCCCUGGCUAAGCUGACUCCAAAGGGCCUCCUGCCCCCUGCCCUGCCUCCUACCUCUACCUCCCAGAAGCUACACACUCAGAGGGAAUUUCUCAGCCUCAACACCCACCAAGUAUCUGAUCUACCACAGGUUGAGCUGACGCUGGCUGAACAUAGCGGGGAGAGAGACCCAUGAACCUACCAAGAAGGCUGCCAAGCUCACCACCUAGGCUGGGGACAGAAGGUUCGAGACCAAGGAGCCACAGAUGGUUCCGAGGAAGAUAAGACCUGAAGAACCAGACCUAGGGAAGUAGAAAGGGAAACAUCAAAGGACCUGUCACCAGGUAGAAGAAGAGAAUCAACUCCUGCAAGCUGCCCUCUGACCUCCACAUGUGACACACAGGGAGGCAAGAACACAGAGCAGACAAGGGCUUGGGAUGGACCUCAGCCAGUGGAGUGGCUGCCGAGCCUGUGUGACGCCCGCCCCAUGUAAGACCAGAUGUGGUGACACACACCUGUGAAUCUAGCACUCAGCGGCUGGAGGAAGUAGGACAGGAAAUUCAAGGUUCUCAGCUACAUAGCAUGAUACACCUUGGCUCCCAAAAUGCUAGCCCAAAGCCUUCUCCUCCGAAAGGAUACUCAGGACGGGUCUUGGACUCACUCAGACACAAACGGGGAAACUCAGACCUGGUGCAGGCCCAGUGUGGAUUUCCUCUCUAAACGCAGAACGGCUGUAGGAAGGGACUGAAGCUCAGAGCUAGCCCUCUGUCCUGCUGAGCCGCCUCUGAAAGCGGGAACACAUCUACACAGCAGGCUUUGGAAGAGCACAUUCCCAUCGUCUGGGAACCUUCUUUUACUGACAGUACAAGGACUUGGGGCUCCCUAUGAUAGGGAGGAAGGAAGAUGCUGGACAUUCCAAAGAGAUAUGAUGUCCUUGGAGCUAACACUUGUUUACCACAGUCUGGGUCACUGCUGCCCUUGGUUUCUUUGAAGACCAGUGUUUCCCGCCUGAGACAGGCAUGGGCCACAGAAGCCUCCCACACCGUUCCUAUUUGGAGGAGGCUUUCUGCUGGGUUCUGGAAGCCAGGGUGAGGGGUGUUAUGCCAAGAACCCACAGCCUCCUGGCUCCCUCCCACACGGCAGCCUGCACUGACAUCUCUGAGAGGGCCUUUGAUUAAAGAGACAAGUGACUUUGCCCAUUCUAUUGAUCAGAAUAAAU